This 266-nucleotide long non-coding RNA is filed under the name Microcebus murinus (gray mouse lemur). RNAcentral's name for it is "ST7 overlapping transcript 4 conserved region 3 (ENSMICG00000030065.2)". It matches the Rfam family "ST7 overlapping transcript 4 conserved region 3". The record is from RNAcentral. Lineage: Eukaryota; Metazoa; Chordata; Mammalia; Primates; Cheirogaleidae.
UGGUUGCCCUUCCUGCAAUGAAGGCAAGUGUGUCCCUGCAGAGGCCACUGAGUCUAGAGCUGCUUUUAGGGAGCUGCCAAUGGCACAGCCCUCCCUACUCGGGGAAGCUGAGGGCACCAUCACAGUGAGGCAGCCAGGAGCCAGGGCUUCCAUGACACAGGCCUUGAUUGCUUGAUUUGUUCUUUUUUUUUUUUUAUUUCUUGAAUGCCUCCUAUGCAUAAGACAUUGUGGCAGGUGCUAUGAUUGGAAAGAUGUACAAGUUUGUA